Molecule: non-coding RNA, 435 nt
Organism: Chiloscyllium plagiosum (whitespotted bambooshark)
Lineage: Eukaryota; Metazoa; Chordata; Chondrichthyes; Orectolobiformes; Hemiscylliidae
Source: RefSeq, a predicted model, not a curated record
ACUUCACACAGUCAGGAAGGAGAGAUCCUGUCUGGGGUGAGACACAGUCUGGGUAAAUAUAUCGUUCGUGGAAUAUUGAUGGCAACGUGGAAAUUCGGCGCAGAGGCAGCUGGAACAACUUCAAGCACAAGGGCCACAAAAGCUGACAGAUCAGCCAGGGAAGCCUUCACCUAUUGAGCUAAUGGGGAAAAGUAAUCUGUCUCCACAGCAACAACCAGCCCCCUUGACUGACAAUGGAGAGUGAGACAGAGUCUAGUCUCUUUCAUUGGGACAGAAGACAUGAAAGUUUGAAAACACGUACUAACAGAUUUAAGAACCGUUUCUUCCCCGCUGCUUUCAGACCAAUGAUGGACAUCUCACAUAUUAGAGUUGAUCUUUCUCUGCACCUUCUCUGUAGCAGUAACACUAUGUUCUGUAUUCUGUUCUAUUACCCUG